AGUGAACGCUGGCGGCAGGCCUAACACAUGCAAGUCGAACGGCAGCACAAGAGAGCUUGCUCUCUGGGUGGCGAGUGGCGGACGGGUGAGGAAUGCAUCGGAAUCUGCCCAUUUGUGGGGGAUAACCUCGGGAAACCGGGACUAAUACCGCAUACGACCUACGGGUGAAAGCAGGGGAUCUUCGGACCUUGCGCAGAUGGAUGAGCCGCUGCCGGAUUAGCUAGUUGGAGGGGUAAAGGCCCACCAAGGCGACGAUCCGUAGCUGGUCUGAGAGGAUGAUCAGCCACACUGGGACUGAGACACGGCCCAGACUCCGACGGGGGGCAGCAGUGGGGAAUAUUGGACAAUGGGCGCAAGCCUGAUCCAGCCAUGCCGCGUGUGUGAAGAAGGCCUUCGGGUUGUAAAGCACUUUUGUUGGGAAAGAAAAGCAGCCGGUUAAUACCCGGUUGUCAUGACGGUACCCAAAGAAUAAGCACCGGCUAACUUCGUG
Molecule: ribosomal RNA, 490 nt
Filed under: uncultured bacterium
Lineage: Bacteria
Description: partial 16S ribosomal RNA
Rfam family: Bacterial small subunit ribosomal RNA
Source: RNAcentral